CCUACGGUGAGCUGUAGUGGGGAAUAUUGGACAAUGGGCGAAAGCCUGAUCCAGCCAUGCCGCGUGUGUGAAGAAGGCCUUCGGGUUGUAAAGCACUUUCAGUGGGGAAGAAAGCCUUGGGGCUAAUACCCUCGAGGAAGGACAUCACCCACAGAAGAAGCACCGGCUAACUCCGUGCCAGCAGCCGCGGUAAUACGGAGGGUGCGAGCGUUAAUCGGAAUUACUGGGCGUAAAGCGCGCGUAGGCGGUCUGAUAAGCCGGUUGUGAAAGCCCCGGGCUCAACCUGGGAACGGCAUCCGGAACUGUCAGGCUAGAGUGCAGGAGAGGAAGGUAGAAUUCCCGGUGUAGCGGUGAAAUGCGUAGAGAUCGGGAGGAAUACCAGUGGCGAAGGCGGCCUUCUGGACUGACACUGACGCUGAGGUGCGAAAGCGUGGGUAGCAAACAGGAUUAGAUACCCCGGUAGUC
Molecule: ribosomal RNA, 465 nt
Filed under: Vreelandella stevensii
Lineage: Bacteria; Pseudomonadati; Pseudomonadota; Gammaproteobacteria; Oceanospirillales; Halomonadaceae
Description: partial 16S ribosomal RNA
Rfam family: Bacterial small subunit ribosomal RNA
Source: RNAcentral